AAAAACAUGGCUCUUUGAGGUUUAUAUAUAAAGAGUCGGGCCUGCCCAGUGAAAAAUUUUCAACGGCCGCGGUAUUUUGACCGUGCGAAGGUAGCAUAAUCAUUUGCCCUAUAAUUGAGGGCCGGUAUGAAUGGUUUGACGUGAGCAAAGCUGUCUCUAUAUUGAUUUAUUAGAAUUUGAUUUUUAGGUGAAGAAACCUAAAUUUUAUUAAAAGACAAGAAGACCCUAUUGAGCUUUAAAAAAAUAAGUAAAUGAGGGGUUGUUUAUUAAGAAACCCGCUUGCUUAAUAUUUUGGUUGGGGCGACUAAGGAACAGUUAAAGCUUCUUUUUUAUUUGUAGGUUUACGGACGUUGAUCCAAGCAUUUUGAUUAAAGAGAUUAGCUACCGUAGGGAUAACAGCAUAAUUCUUUUUGAGAGUUCUUAUCGAAAAGAGAGUUUGUGACCUCGAUGUUGGACUAAAAUUUCCUAAAGAUGCAGCAGUCUUUAAGGGUUGGUCUGUUCGACCAUUAAAAUUUUACGUGAU
Molecule: ribosomal RNA, 523 nt
Filed under: Procalpurnus lacteus
Lineage: Eukaryota; Metazoa; Mollusca; Gastropoda; Littorinimorpha; Ovulidae
Description: partial 16S ribosomal RNA
Rfam family: Bacterial large subunit ribosomal RNA
Source: RNAcentral